UGGGGAAUCUUGGACAAUGGGCGCAAGCCUGAUCCAGCCAUGCCGCGUGAGUGAAGAAGGCCCUAGGGUUGUAAAGCUCUUUCGGCGGGGACGAUAAUGACGGUACCCGCAGAAGAAGCCCCGGCUAACUCCGUGCCAGCAGCCGCGGCAAUACGGAGGGGGCUAGCGUUGUUCGGAAUUACUGGGCGUCAAGCGCACGUAGGCGGGUCGUUAAGUCGGGGGUGAAAUCCCGGGGCUCAACCUCAGAACUGCCUUCGAUACUGGCGACCUUCAGUACGGGAAAGGUGAGUGGAAUUCCCAGUGUAGAGGUGAAAUUCGUAGAUAUUGGGAAGAACACCAGGGGCGAAGGCCGCUCACUGGCCCGUAACUGACGCUGAUGUGCGAAAGCGUGG
This 392-nucleotide ribosomal RNA is filed under the name uncultured bacterium. RNAcentral's name for it is "bacterial SSU rRNA". It matches the Rfam family "Bacterial small subunit ribosomal RNA", at positions 355 to 764 of the family's 1533-position model. The record is from RNAcentral.